GCGGGGGAGGGAGGAGAGGAGCUGAGAGGCAGAGAGGGUGGGGCCUGGAAGCUGAGGACGCUGCGGGAUUAUGACUCCUGAAUGAGGACCGGAAAUGAACGGUGGAUGGUCACUCUGCCUUUGCUCCAUAUUGCACUAGUGAGAUCAGUGAUUUUCUCAGUGCAAAUAUCCUGGCCAUCAAUGCUGAGACUAGUCACCCUCUCCUGAUCUUCAUGAAUUGCUGA
This 224-nucleotide long non-coding RNA is filed under the name Monodelphis domestica (gray short-tailed opossum). Its description in RNAcentral is "lncRNA (ENSMODG00000037187.1)". Lineage: Eukaryota; Metazoa; Chordata; Mammalia; Didelphimorphia; Didelphidae. The record is from RNAcentral.